Molecule: ribosomal RNA, 586 nt
Filed under: uncultured Paenibacillus sp.
Lineage: Bacteria; Bacillati; Bacillota; Bacilli; Caryophanales; Paenibacillaceae
Description: bacterial SSU rRNA
Rfam family: Bacterial small subunit ribosomal RNA
Source: RNAcentral
GCGGGGUUAGUUAGAAGCUUGCUUCUAACUAACCUAGCGGCGGACGGGUGAGUAACACGUAGGCAACCUGCCCACAAGACAGGGAUAACUACCGGGAACGGUAGCUAAUACCCGAUACAUCCUUUUCCUGCAUGGGAGAAGGAGGAAAGGCGGAGCAAUCUGUCACUUGUGGAUGGGCCUGCGGCGCAUUAGCUAGUUGGUGGGGUAAAGGCCUACCAAGGCGACGAUGCGUAGCCGACCUGAGAGGGUGAUCGGCCACACUGGGACUGAGACACGGCCCAGACUCCUACGGGAGGCAGCAGUAGGGAAUCUUCCGCAAUGGGCGAAAGCCUGACGGAGCAACGCCGCGUGAGUGAUGAAGGUUUUCGGAUCGUAAAGCUCUGUUGCCAGGGAAGAACGCCUUGUAGAGUAACUGCUNNNAGAAGUGACGGUACCUGAGAAUAAAGCCCCGGCUAACUACGUGCCAGCAGCCGCGGUAAUACGUAGGGGGCAAGCGUUGUCCGGAAUUAUUGGGCGUAAAGCGCGCGCAGGCGGCUCUUUAAGUCUGGUGUUUAAUCCCGAGGCUCAACUUCGGGUCGCACUGGAC